This 1540-nucleotide ribosomal RNA is filed under the name Staphylococcus aureus W39821. RNAcentral's name for it is "16S ribosomal RNA". It matches the Rfam family "Bacterial small subunit ribosomal RNA". RNAcentral also lists the same sequence under 1 other name. Lineage: Bacteria; Bacillati; Bacillota; Bacilli; Caryophanales; Staphylococcaceae. The record is from RNAcentral.
AGAGUUUGAUCCUGGCUCAGGAUGAACGCUGGCGGCGUGCCUAAUACAUGCAAGUCGAGCGAACGGACGAGAAGCUUGCUUCUCUGAUGUUAGCGGCGGACGGGUGAGUAACACGUGGAUAACCUACCUAUAAGACUGGGAUAACUUCGGGAAACCGGAGCUAAUACCGGAUAAUAUUUUGAACCGCAUGGUUCAAAAGUGAAAGACGGUCUUGCUGUCACUUAUAGAUGGAUCCGCGCUGCAUUAGCUAGUUGGUAAGGUAACGGCUUACCAAGGCAACGAUGCAUAGCCGACCUGAGAGGGUGAUCGGCCACACUGGAACUGAGACACGGUCCAGACUCCUACGGGAGGCAGCAGUAGGGAAUCUUCCGCAAUGGGCGAAAGCCUGACGGAGCAACGCCGCGUGAGUGAUGAAGGUCUUCGGAUCGUAAAACUCUGUUAUUAGGGAAGAACAUAUGUGUAAGUAACUGUGCACAUCUUGACGGUACCUAAUCAGAAAGCCACGGCUAACUACGUGCCAGCAGCCGCGGUAAUACGUAGGUGGCAAGCGUUAUCCGGAAUUAUUGGGCGUAAAGCGCGCGUAGGCGGUUUUUUAAGUCUGAUGUGAAAGCCCACGGCUCAACCGUGGAGGGUCAUUGGAAACUGGAAAACUUGAGUGCAGAAGAGGAAAGUGGAAUUCCAUGUGUAGCGGUGAAAUGCGCAGAGAUAUGGAGGAACACCGGUGGCGAAGGCGACUUUCUGGUCUGUAACUGACGCUGAUGUGCGAAAGCGUGGGGAUCAAACAGGAUUAGAUACCCUGGUAGUCCACGCCGUAAACGAUGAGUGCUAAGUGUUAGGGGGUUUCCGCCCCUUAGUGCUGCAGCUAACGCAUUAAGCACUCCGCCUGGGGAGUACGACCGCAAGGUUGAAACUCAAAGGAAUUGACGGGGACCCGCACAAGCGGUGGAGCAUGUGGUUUAAUUCGAAGCAACGCGAAGAACCUUACCAAAUCUUGACAUCCUUUGACAACUCUAGAGAUAGAGCCUUCCCCUUCGGGGGACAAAGUGACAGGUGGUGCAUGGUUGUCGUCAGCUCGUGUCGUGAGAUGUUGGGUUAAGUCCCGCAACGAGCGCAACCCUUAAGCUUAGUUGCCAUCAUUAAGUUGGGCACUCUAAGUUGACUGCCGGUGACAAACCGGAGGAAGGUGGGGAUGACGUCAAAUCAUCAUGCCCCUUAUGAUUUGGGCUACACACGUGCUACAAUGGACAAUACAAAGGGCAGCGAAACCGCGAGGUCAAGCAAAUCCCAUAAAGUUGUUCUCAGUUCGGAUUGUAGUCUGCAACUCGACUACAUGAAGCUGGAAUCGCUAGUAAUCGUAGAUCAGCAUGCUACGGUGAAUACGUUCCCGGGUCUUGUACACACCGCCCGUCACACCACGAGAGUUUGUAACACCCGAAGCCGGUGGAGUAACCUUUUAGGAGCUAGCCGUCGAAGGUGGGACAAAUGAUUGGGGUGAAGUCGUAACAAGGUAGCCGUAUCGGAAGGUGCGGCUGGAUCACCU